Molecule: ribosomal RNA, 1470 nt
Filed under: metagenome
Description: bacterial SSU rRNA
Rfam family: Bacterial small subunit ribosomal RNA
Source: RNAcentral
AGAGUUUGAUCCUGGCUCAGGACGAACGCUGGCGGCACGCUUAACACAUGCAAGUCGAACGAGAGAAGAGGAGCUUGCUUUUCUGAUCUAGUGGCGGACGGGUGAGUAACACGUGAGCAAUCUGCCUUUCAGAGGGGGAUACCGAUUGGAAACGAUCGUUAAUACCGCAUAACAUAAUUGAACCGCAUGAUUUGAUUAUCAAAGAUUUAUCGCUGAAAGAUGAGCUCGCGUCUGAUUAGCUAGUUGGUAAGGUAACGGCUUACCAAGGCGACGAUCAGUAGCCGGACUGAGAGGUUGAUCGGCCACAUUGGGACUGAGACACGGCCCAGACUCCUACGGGAGGCAGCAGUGGGGAAUAUUGCACAAUGGAGGAAACUCUGAUGCAGCGAUGCCGCGUGAGGGAAGAAGGUUUUAGGAUUGUAAACCUCUGUCUUCAGGGACGAAAAAAGACGGUACCUGAGGAGGAAGCUCCGGCUAACUACGUGCCAGCAGCCGCGGUAGUACGUAGGGAGCGAGCGUUGUCCGGAAUUACUGGGUGUAAAGGGAGCGUAGGCGGGAUCGCAAGUCAGAUGUGAAAACUAUGGGCUUAACCCAUAAACUGCAUUUGAAACUGUGGUUCUUGAGUGAAGUAGAGGUAAGCGGAAUUCCUAGUGUAGCGGUGAAAUGCGUAGAUAUUAGGAGGAACAUCAGUGGCGAAGGCGGCUUACUGGGCUUUAACUGACGCUGAGGCUCGAAAGCGUGGGGAGCAAACAGGAUUAGAUACCCUGGUAGUCCACGCCGUAAACGAUGAUUACUAGGUGUGGGGGGACUGACCCCUUCCGUGCCGCAGCGAACGCAAUAAGUAAUCCACCUGGGGAGUACGACCGCAAGGUUGAAACUCAAAGGAAUUGACGGGGGCCCGCACAAGCAGUGGAGUAUGUGGAUUAAUUCGAAGCAACGCGAAGAACCUUACCAGGUCUUGACAUCGUAUGCAUAGCUCAGAGAUGAGUGAAAUCUCUUCGGAGACAUAUAGACAGGUGGUGCAUGGUUGUCGUCAGCUCGUGUCGUGAGAUGUUGGGUUAAGUCCCGCAACGAGCGCAACCCUUACUGUUAGUUGCUACGCAAGAGCACUCUAGCAGGACUGCCGUUGACAAAACGGAGGAAGGUGGGGAUGACGUCAAAUCAUCAUGCCCCUUAUGACCUGGGCCUCACACGUACUACAAUGGCUGUCAACAGAGGGAAGCAAAGCCGCGAGGUGGAGCGAACCCCUAAAAGCAGUCUUAGUUCGGAUUGUAGGCUGCAACCCGCCUACAUGAAGUCGGAAUUGCUAGUAAUCGCAGAUCAGCAUGCUGCGGUGAAUACGUUCCCGGGCCUUGUACACACCGCCCGUCACGCCAUGGGAGUCGGUAACACCCGAAGCCUGUAGUCUAACCGCAAGGAGGACGCAGUCGAAGGUGGGAUUGAUGACUGGGGUGAAGUCGUAACAAGGUA